Molecule: ribosomal RNA, 1579 nt
Filed under: Tulostoma pulchellum
Lineage: Eukaryota; Fungi; Basidiomycota; Agaricomycetes; Agaricales; Agaricaceae
Description: eukaryotic LSU rRNA
Rfam family: Eukaryotic large subunit ribosomal RNA (bases 625-1579)
Source: RNAcentral
GAUGGGUUGUCGCUGGCUUCUAGGAGCAUGUGCACAUCUGUCAUUUUUAUCCAUCCACCUGUGCACCUUUUGUAGUCUUUGGAGGUAAUAAGCGUGAAUCUAUCGAGGUCCUCUGGUCGUCGGAAAGAGGUGUUUGCCAUAUGGCUCGCCUUUGAUACUCGCGAGUUACUCUAAGACUAUGUUCUUUCAUAUACCACGAAUGUAAUAGAAUGUAUUCAUUGGGCCUCAGUGCCUAUAAAACAUAUACAACUUUCAGCAACGGAUCUCUUGGCUCUCGCAUCGAUGAAGAACGCAGCGAAAUGCGAUAAGUAAUGUGAAUUGCAGAAUUCAGUGAAUCAUCGAAUCUUUGAACGCACCUUGCGCUCCUUGGUAUUCCGAGGAGCAUGCCUGUUUGAGUGUCAUUAAAUUCUCAACCCCUUCCGGUUUUUUUGACUGGCUUUUGGGGCUUGGAUGUGGGGGAUUCAUUUGCGGGCCUCUGUAGAGGUCGGCUCCCCUGAAAUGCAUUAGUGGAACCGUUUGCGGUUACCGUCGCUGGUGUGAUAACUAUCUAUGCCAAAGACAAACUGCUCUCUGAUAGUUCUGCUUCUAACCGUCCAUUUAUUGGACAACAUUAUUAUGAACACUUGACCUCAAAUCAGGUAGGACUACCCGCUGAACUUAAGCAUAUCAAUAAGCGGAGGAAAAGAAACUAACAAGGAUUCCCCUAGUAACUGCGAGUGAAGCGGGAAAAGCUCAAAUUUAAAAUCUGGCGGUCUUUGGCCGUCCGAGUUGUAAUCUAGAGAAGCGACACCCGCGCUGGACCGUGUACAAGUCUCCUGGAAUGGAGCGUCAUAGAGGGUGAGAAUCCCGUCUCUGACACGGACUACCAGGGCUUUGUGGUGCGCUCUCAAAGAGUCGAGUUGUUUGGGAAUGCAGCUCUAAAUGGGUGGUAAAUUCCAUCUAAAGCUAAAUAUUGGCGAGAGACCGAUAGCGAACAAGUACCGUGAGGGAAAGAUGAAAAGAACUUUGGAAAGAGAGUUAAACAGUACGUGAAAUUGCUGAAAGGGAAACGCUUGAAGUCAGUCGCGUUGGCCGGGGAUCAGCCUCGCUUUUGCGUGGUGUAUUUCCUGGUUGACGGGUCAGCAUCAAUUUUGACCGCUGGAAAAGGACUUGGGGAAUGUGGCAUCUUCGGAUGUGUUAUAGCCCUUUGUCGCAUACGGCGGUUGGGAUUGAGGAACUCAGCACGCCGCAAGGCCGGGUUUCGACCACGUUCGUGCUUAGGAUGCUGGCAUAAUGGCUUUAAUCGACCCGUCUUGAAACACGGACCAAGGAGUCUAACAUGCCUGCGAGUGUUUGGGUGGAAAACCCGAGCGCGUAAUGAAAGUGAAAGUUGAGAUCCCUGUCGUGGGGAGCAUCGACGCCCGGACCAGAACUUUUGGGACGGAUCUGCGGUAGAGCAUGUAUGUUGGGACCCGAAAGAUGGUGAACUAUGCCUGAAUAGGGUGAAGCCAGAGGAAACUCUGGUGGAGGCUCGUAGCGAUUCUGACGUGCAAAUCGAUCGUCAAAUUUGGGUAUAGGGGCGAAAGACUAAUCGAACGAU